AAUUUGGGACAAUGGGGGAAACCCUGAUCCAGCCAGCCCGCGUGUAUGAUGAAGGCCUUCGGGUUGUCCAGUACUUUUGGCAGAGAAGAAAAUGUACCUCCUAAUACGAGGUACUGCUGACUGUAUCUGCAGAAUAAGCACCGGCUAACUCCGUGCCAUCAGCCGCGGUAAUACGUAGGGUGCAAGCGUUAAUCGGAAUUACUGGGAGUAAAGCGUGUGUAGGAGGUUCGGAAAGAAAGAUGUGAAAUCCCAGGGCUCAACCUUGGAACUGCAUUUUUAACUGCCGAGCUAGAGUAUGUCAGCGGGGGGUAGAAUUCCACGUGUAGCAGUGAAAUGCGUAGAUAUGUGGAGGAAUACCGAUGGCGAAGGCAGCCCCCUGGGAUAAUACUGACGCUCAGACACGAAAGCGUGGGGAGAAA
Molecule: ribosomal RNA, 419 nt
Filed under: uncultured bacterium
Lineage: Bacteria
Description: partial 16S ribosomal RNA
Rfam family: Bacterial small subunit ribosomal RNA
Source: RNAcentral